CCUACGGGUGGCAGCAGUGGGGAAUAUUGGGCAAUGGGCGCAAGCCUGACCCAGCAACGCCGCGUGAAGGAAGAAGGCUUUCGGGUUGUAAACUUCUUUUGACAGGGAAGAGCAGAAGACGGUACCUGUCGAUUAAGCCAUGGCUUACUAGGUGCCAGCAGCCGCGGUAAUACGUAGGUGGCAAGCGGUGUCCGGAAUUACUGGGUGUAAAGGGCGUGUAGCGGGGCUGACAAGUCAGAGGUGAAAUCCGGGGGCUCAACCACCGAACUGCAUUUGACACUGGUGGUCUAGAGUGUCGGAGAGGCAGGCGGAAUGCCUGGUGUAGCGGUGAAAUGCGUAGAUAUAAGGAAGAACACCAAUGGCGAAGGCAGCUUACUGGGCGACAACUGACGGUGAGGCACGAAAGCGUGGGGAGCAAACAGGAUUAGAUACCCUGGUAGUC
This 442-nucleotide ribosomal RNA is filed under the name uncultured bacterium. RNAcentral's name for it is "partial 16S ribosomal RNA". It matches the Rfam family "Bacterial small subunit ribosomal RNA", at positions 338 to 795 of the family's 1533-position model. The record is from RNAcentral.